UUUAAAUGUAAAAAAAAAUAUCAAAUUAGUAAUAGUUAAGUUCUUUAAAUUUAAAAAUUUUGGCGGUAUUUUAGUCUAUUCAGAGGAACCUGUUCUAUAAUUGAUAAUCCACGAUUAACUAAACUUAUUUUUUUAAUUUGUAUAUCGUCGUUUAUAAAUAAUUUUAUAAGAAUAUAAAUUUUUAAGAUUUUUAAUUAGAAAAUAUAUCAGAUCAAGGUGCAGUUUAUAAAUAAGAAGAAAUGGGUUACAAUAAAUUUAUUUAAAUGGAUUAAUUUUUUAAAAAGAAUUAUGAAGGUGGAUUUGAUAGUAAUUAAAUUAAUUUUAAUUUAAUGAUUUUAGCUCUAAAAUAUGU
Molecule: ribosomal RNA, 352 nt
Filed under: Lancetes angusticollis
Lineage: Eukaryota; Metazoa; Arthropoda; Insecta; Coleoptera; Dytiscidae
Description: partial 12S ribosomal RNA
Source: RNAcentral